CCUGGCUGCAUUCAUGAAAGCACAGGCCAUUUUGACACUGGGUGAAUGGCAGGUGACUGUAUUCAUGAAAGCAAAUGGAUUAUCGACCAAACGGGGAAUCACAGAAAACACAAACCCGUUCACAGGACCGCUGACCUGCAGGAUCUGAAAGGAAACUUGCGGCCCUUUGCCUUUACGUAGACUACUUCGAGCGGCAGUGGCUUACCAACGUUCAUCUCUGGAAUUAGUUUGCGGAUGAGGACGAUCUCCGCACAAACAAUCACGCCGAAGGGUGGCAUAAUUCGCUGCGCAUGAAAUUCAAGAGCCAACCCCACAUGACGUUUUCGAAGUUCCUCGUCGAAUUUGAGUCAACCAUACACAAUGUAAGCACAACCAGGUACGCAUUCGGCUGCUGUUGAACGGGGCUUCGCCAAGCAGGAGACGAUACAAGAGGCUCGCUCUUCCUUCUCAUGGGCGUACGGAAAAUACAGCUAAGGGGAAAUGAUGCUGGGAAACGAAGUACCCUUCACAGACGUAACAGAGCAGUUUGCUCAUGUUAUCAAGGCAUACCUGCAGCGCAUGUCCCACUUGCUGGGCCAUGCUAACUAAUAAGUUAGUUGUUCAAAUGAAAAAAAGAAAAAAAGAACAACUAAACAGAGCAGGCUGAGCAUUUGUUUCUCGUUUUACUCGGUGUAUAACAUCUUUCAGUGGGAAUGUUUAAAUCUUACCUUCAACUAAUAAGUCAGUUGUUGGAAUGAAAAAAAAAGAAAGAAAAAUAAAUAAACAGAGCAGGCUGA
Molecule: long non-coding RNA, 776 nt
Organism: Ornithodoros turicata
Lineage: Eukaryota; Metazoa; Arthropoda; Arachnida; Ixodida; Argasidae
Exons: 3
Source: RefSeq, a predicted model, not a curated record